This 253-nucleotide ribosomal RNA is filed under the name uncultured bacterium. RNAcentral describes it as "partial 16S ribosomal RNA". It matches the Rfam family "Bacterial small subunit ribosomal RNA", at positions 524 to 776 of the family's 1533-position model. The record is from RNAcentral.
UACGGAGGGUGCAAGUGUUAUCCGGAUUCACUGGGUUUAAAGGGUGCGUAGGUGGGUCUGUAAGUCCGUGGUGAAAUCUCCGAGCUUAACUUGGAAACUGCCAUGGAUACUAUAGAUCUUGAAUACUGUGGAGGUUAGCGGAAUAUGUCAUGUAGCGGUGAAAUGCUUAGAUAUGACAUAGAACACCAAUUGCGAAGGCAGCUGGCUACACAAAUAUUGACACUGAUGCACGAAAGCGUGGGGAUCAAACAGG